UAAAGUGUACUAAACAUCAAAAAGUCGCUGAACAAAUGUUGGUCAAUUAGAAGACCUAGAGAAUUAGAUAACCUAGAUAACACUAGAAAGUCACCCCGCGACCCCCCAGAAAAAAAAGUACCUAUGACGCUCACCGAUCUGCUACGUUGAACGGCGAUGGAUAACCUUUGCGUCAGGAAGGUCCCUGAGCGAGGAUCCAAACCUCUCCCUUGUAUACUUCUCCCCACUUCCUCUAAAAAGGCCUUGGCCUCGGCACACCAGCACCCGAACCGCUGCCAACUUGGCUAUUGCCCCUGCUGCUCACCAUACGGUCAAUAUGCGACACCGCGAGCUGACGCACGUUGCGUCCCAUGCUAAACUAACUCUUUAAUUGUUAAGAAGUCUUCUUCUUGUUCACUAGUUAAUCAUUGUUGAAAGUUUUUGUUUCUAGAGUGUCCAUAUCAUCCCCGAGCAUACUGAAGUGAACUACGUGAACGAGAAGUACGUAUACAACGUGUCCGCGCGCGUGGUGCGGUACAGUAGGAAGAGUACCUACUACUACAACCUUGUAGCUGGAAUCAAGCAUACUUGGGGAAAUAAUGUCACGCUUAAUUUGGUAUUCUUCGAAGGCCAAAACAACCAAUACAAUCGCAGCCCAGUGGAGAUAAAACUGAAGCUGUGCGACCUGUUCCAGCGAGACCAGUACUUCGGGAAGAUGUUUAGUGUAGUUUUAAACAAAUAUGGAAUGUCCUGCCCCUUUGCGCCGGGGCUGUACCGCUUCAUGAACACCACGUUGCCCUCCGACAGCUUUCCCAACGUCCUGCCGUUCCGCAGGGGAAAGGCGGAGAUGAUCUACAACCAGCUGCCCACGCAAGAUGUUAUUGUUAAGGUUUCUACCACAUUUACCGUCAAGAAGUAGGCUUAGAGGAAACUUAAAUACCGUAACGGCCCAAUUAAUAGCUCGUCUCCUAACAUUAUUAUCGACUUUUGAAGCGAUUGUUCUCAAAAGUACCUAUUUACUUAAUUAAAUCACUGUUUUAGAAGAACUUCAAGUUAUUAUUAAAGACAUAAACAAAUGUAUAACACGUUGAUGUACGGCCCGAUUCGAAGAAUGAUUAAGACACGUUUAAGAUCUUUAAAAGAUCGAUAACUAAACGUCAUGUCAACAUUGACGUUUAUUUAGAUUCCGCUGAUUAGAUCUACGAUAUCUCUAACGUCAAAGUGACACAUUGGUUGCCCGGAUCGAGCUGCUUCUGUCAAUUAUACGACAUACAAACGAUAUCUAAAUGAGAACUUAUCUAAACCAGAACGUAUCGUUAUCGUAUCUCAUUCUUUGAAUCGGGCCUAUUGACCACAAUAAACCAACAAUGGAAUAGAAAACCUCCUGCUUUUGGAAUUUUUAAGUCAGUUGAAUAAACUCCCAACAUUGUUUGUACAAAUUUAAACAGAGUUCGGAUUUAUGUGCAAUCAGUUUGUAGCUCGUUAAGCAUUUUCUUGCUUCUCUUCAGAUUAAAACUAUGCGGGCUC
Long non-coding RNA from Cydia pomonella (codling moth), 1506 nucleotides. RefSeq lists it as uncharacterized. The transcript has 3 exons. Lineage: Eukaryota; Metazoa; Arthropoda; Insecta; Lepidoptera; Tortricidae. The record is from RefSeq and is a predicted model, not a curated record.